AGUGAACGCUGGCGGUAGGCCUAACACAUGCAAGUCGAACGGCAGCAUGGUCUUAGCUUGCUCAUACGGGUGGCGAGUGGCGGACGGGUGAGGAACACAUCGGCAUCUACUUUCUCGGGGGGGAAAACGUCGGGAAACUUACGCUUAUACCGCAUACCACCUUCGGGUGAAAGCAGGAUAUCUUCGGACCUUACUCGACUGUAUGAGACGCUGUCGGGUCAGCUUGUUGGCGGGGUAAUGGCCCCCCACGGCGACGAUCCGUAGUUGGUGUGAGAGGAUGAUCAGCCACACUGGAACUGAGACACGGUCCAGACUCCAACGGGAGGCAGCAGUGGGGAAUGUUGGACAAUGGGCGGAAGCCUGAUCCAGCCAUGCCGCGUGGGUGGAGAAGGCCUUCGGGUUGUAAAGCCCUUUUGUUGGGAAAGAAAAGCAGCAAGUUAAUACCCCGGUUUUCUGACGGUACCGUAAGAAUAAGCACCGGCUAACUUCGUG
Molecule: ribosomal RNA, 492 nt
Filed under: uncultured bacterium
Lineage: Bacteria
Description: partial 16S ribosomal RNA
Rfam family: Bacterial small subunit ribosomal RNA
Source: RNAcentral